RNAcentral lists this ribosomal RNA (279 nucleotides) under Desmophyllum dianthus. RNAcentral describes it as "partial 16S ribosomal RNA". It matches the Rfam family "Bacterial large subunit ribosomal RNA", at positions 2003 to 2454 of the family's 2925-position model. Lineage: Eukaryota; Metazoa; Cnidaria; Anthozoa; Scleractinia; Caryophylliidae. The record is from RNAcentral.
CACGAAAGUUCUUCUGUUUUAAAAAAACACUCAAGGAAAUUGAAUUUGUAGUGAAGAUGCYACAUUAAAAUUGUUAGACGAGAAGUCCCCAUGGAGCUUUACUGAAAGCCUAAAAAAAAUUUUUUAUUUAUUUAUAGGUUAGACAGUUUUGUUGGGGUGAUAGUUUUUUAAAAAGUAACGAAAACGAACUAUGACGCAUGUUUCACUCUGAAAACUUGAAGAGACAUUUGGGGUGUGUUUUAUGAUCUAUUGUUUUGAAUGAAAAARAUAAUGAAAGCA